AGUUCGUGGUGCGGGCAACAUUGUAGCAAGUCUUUGUACCUCUUCCAAGCAUCAUACAUGCUCUCGUCAUCGACUGCAAAAAAGAAGAUAUAUCAUUUCUCAAUCU
This 106-nucleotide small nucleolar RNA is filed under the name Ricinus communis (castor bean). RNAcentral's name for it is "Plant small nucleolar RNA R71". It matches the Rfam family "Plant small nucleolar RNA R71". From Rfam's summary of the family: R71 is a member of the C/D box family of snoRNAs containing the C (UGAUGA) and D (CUGA) box motifs. The record is from Rfam by way of RNAcentral. Lineage: Eukaryota; Viridiplantae; Streptophyta; Magnoliopsida; Malpighiales; Euphorbiaceae.